UACGUAGGGUGCAAGCGUUAAUCGGAAUUACUGGGCGUAAAGCGUGCGCAGGCGGUUGUGCAAGACAGAUGUGAAAUCCCCGGGCUCAACCUGGGAACUGCAUUUGUGACUGCACAGCUUGAGUGCGGCAGAGGGGGAUGGAAUUCCGCGUGUAGCAGUGAAAUGCGUAGAUAUGCGGAGGAACACCGAUGGCGAAGGCAAUCCCCUGGGCCCGCACUGACGCUCAUGCACGAAAGCGUGGGGAGCAAACAGG
Molecule: ribosomal RNA, 253 nt
Filed under: uncultured bacterium
Lineage: Bacteria
Description: partial 16S ribosomal RNA
Rfam family: Bacterial small subunit ribosomal RNA
Source: RNAcentral